UGGGGAAUUUUGGACAAUGGGCGAAAGCCUGAUCCAGCAAUGCCGCGUGUGUGAAGAAGGCCUUCGGGUUGUAAAGCACUUUUGUCCGGAAAGAAAUCCUCUGGGUUAAUACCUCGGGGGGAUGACGGUACCGGAAGAAUAAGCACCGGCUAACUACGUGCCAGCAGCCGCGGUAAUACGUAGGGUGCAAGCGUUAAUCGGAAUUACUGGGCGUAAAGCGUGCGCAGGCGGUUUUGUAAGACGGAUGUGAAAUCCCCGGGCUUAACCUGGGAACUGCAUUCGUGACUGCAAGGCUAGAGUAUGGCAGAGGGGGGUUAGAAUUCCACGUGUGAGCAGUGAAAUGCGUAGAGAUGUGGAGGAAUACCGAUGGCGAAGGCAGCCCCCUGGGCCAAUACUGACGCUCAUGCACGAAAGCGUGGGGAGCAAACAGGAUUCAGAUACCCUGGUAGUCCACGCCCUAAACGAUGUC
RNAcentral lists this ribosomal RNA (469 nucleotides) under uncultured bacterium. RNAcentral's name for it is "partial 16S ribosomal RNA". It matches the Rfam family "Bacterial small subunit ribosomal RNA", at positions 355 to 813 of the family's 1533-position model. The record is from RNAcentral.